This is a long non-coding RNA of Daphnia magna, 950 nucleotides long. RefSeq lists it as uncharacterized. The record is from RefSeq and is a predicted model, not a curated record. The transcript is spliced from 2 exons. Lineage: Eukaryota; Metazoa; Arthropoda; Branchiopoda; Diplostraca; Daphniidae.
AAAAUUGUUUUAGCAGGUGGACACGCAUUUGCGCAUACAGAUGUUAAUUACUUUCCACUAGCUCUUCGAAAGCGAAAUCGGUCACAUGUGGGAUGACGAAGGUAAAACCAAUUAACGAACACCUAUUCACAACUCUGAUAGAGAUCCAAUCAUCAACUAUAACAAGAGGUCCAUUUCGGAUGUUUUUCAUCCUACUGGACCUCGUCGUCGAGAGUUCUCUCUUCCGUCCUCUCCUCAUAGCAUAAAUCGACAUCGACAGGAAAAUGAUGGCAAAAACGGCUUCAAAAAUUGCUUCAGUUUUACUAAUUGCACUGGUAAUGGCACUGGUCGUCGUUGGCGACGACCAAGGAGAACAGCCGAUUAUGUCCGAUCGCCAAGAUUUGUUUACCACCGAGCAAAUCACAUUAGUAAUCACCUUCAAAUACCGUUUCGAUUGUGAUUUUUUUGGCAACGACCUCGAACAUAGACGAGCUCAUUCCUAUUCCCAAUGUGCCAAUUUAUGUGUUAACAACAGUUUAUGCACUCACUUCACCUUCAAUUUCGUUGGAAAUUACUGUUUUAUGAAAAGGUCUCAAGCGGAUACUUUGAAACAGCCUACAUCCCAUGCCCAAGGAAUUUGUGGCUUCUUUCCGACUCGAUUGAAAAAUGUCGAGAUGUAAAACGAGGAAAAAUAAUGUAGUGCAUUCUUCUCCUUGUUUGCAACAAUUAUUUCAACAAACGUUCAGUAGAGCGUAAUCUAUUACGAUAGAGCGUUAUACUUCCUCUUCGUGAAUAUACAUAAUUUGCAAACAAUUGUUAGACUACUACAUGAAACCUUGAUUUAGUAUUGAAAACGAGCUUGGUUUCGAUAUUUAAUAAUAUAGCCUACCCUACUACUACUUUGGUGAUUGUUGCCUUGAAUUGCUUUCCUUUUCCACUAAUGAGCUCAAUAAAAAUUCACUGCAUUCUAA